This 465-nucleotide ribosomal RNA is filed under the name uncultured bacterium. RNAcentral's name for it is "partial 16S ribosomal RNA". It matches the Rfam family "Bacterial small subunit ribosomal RNA", at positions 338 to 795 of the family's 1533-position model. The record is from RNAcentral.
CCUACGGGAGGCAGCAGUAGGGAAUCUUCCACAAUGGGCGAAAGCCUGAUGGAGCAACGCCGCGUGGGUGAAGAAGGUCUUCGGAUCGUAAAACCCUGUUGUUAGAGAAGAAAGUGCGUGAGAGUAACUGUUCACGUUUCGACGGUAUCUAACCAGAAAGCCACGGCUAACUACGUGCCAGCAGCCGCGGUAAUACGUAGGUGGCAAGCGUUAUCCGGAUUUAUUGGGCGUAAAGGGAACGCAGGCGGUCUUUUAAGUCCGAUGUGAAAGCCUUCGGCUUAACCGGAGUAGUGCAUUGGAAACGGGGAGACUUGAGUGCAGAAGAGGAGAGUGGAAGUCCAUGUGUAGCGGUGAAAUGCGUAGAUAUAUGGAAGAACACCAGUGGCGAAAGCGGCUUUCUGGUCUGUAACUGACGCUGAGGUUCGAAAGCGUGGGUAGCAAACAGGAUUAGAUACCCCUGUAGUC